CGCCACAGCCCAAGUCUUCACCACCUCCGCCUUCACCACCUCCGCCACAGCCCAAGUCUUCACCACCUCCGCCACCUCCGCCUUCACCACCUCCGCCACAGCCUAAGUCUUCACCACCUCCGCCACCUCCGCCUUCACCACCUCCGCCUUCACCACCUCCGCCUUCACCACCUCCGCCACCUCCGCCUUCACCACAGCCUAAGUCUUCACCACCUCCGCCACCGCCCAACUCAUCACCACCUCCGCCACCCUCACCCUCACCUCUACCUCCUUACAAGUCACCACCACCACCAUCUCCAUCACCAUCUCCAUCACAAUCUCUACCAUCUCUAUCACCACCAUCUCCAUCACCAUCUCUAUCACCAUCUCCAUCACCAUCUCCAAUACCAAAUCCAACAUCAUCUCCAUCACCAUCUCCAUCACCAUCUCCAACACCAUCUCUAACAUCAUCUCCAACACCAUCUCCAACACCAUCUCCAACACCAUCUCCAUCACCAUCUCCAACACCAUCUCCAACACCAUCUCCAACAUCAUCUCCAUCACAAUCUCCAAUACCAAAUCCAACAUCAUCUCCAACACCAUCUCCAUCACCAUCUUCAACACCUUCUCCAUCACCAUCUCUAACACCAUCUCCAACACCAUCUCCAUCAUCAUCUCCAACACCAUCUCCAAUACCAAAUCCAACACCAUCUCCAACACAAUCUCCAACACCAAAUCCAACAUCAUCUCCAUCACAAUCUCCACCGUCUCCAUCACCUCCUCCUCCUUACGUUUACAAGUCUCCACCUCCUCCAUCUCCAUCACCACCACCUCCAUAUGUCUACAAGUCCCCGCCUCCUCUUUCCCCAUCACCUCCUCCACCCUACAUUUAUAAGUCACCACCACCACCCUCACCCUCACCUCCACCUCCAUAUCAUUACAAGUCCCCACCUCCACCUUCCCCGUCACCACCACCUCCAUAUGUCUACAAGUCUCCCCCUCCACCAUCUCCUUCACCUCCUCCUCCCCAUACUCACUCUCCUCCCCCACACUACUACAAAUCCCCUCCACCUCCUCGCCACUACAAGUCCCCUCCACCUCCUCGCCACUACAAGUCCCCUCCACCACCACAUCCUCGCCACUACAAGUCCCCUCCACCUCCACCUCCACCUCCUCGCCACUACAAGUCCCCUCCACCUCCUCGCCACUACUAAGCCUAUUUACGGCUACAGUUACAUAAAACAACUUGAAUUUUCAUAUCUACCAUGUAAUAUCAUAUCUAUUGUAAAGCAUAACUCGGUGUAUUACUUAUUUAAAUAAAUAAAAGCGAAGCAAAUGAUUAAU
RNAcentral lists this long non-coding RNA (1323 nucleotides) under Fragaria vesca (wild strawberry). Its description in RNAcentral is "long non-coding RNA (FVES_LNC002111)". Lineage: Eukaryota; Viridiplantae; Streptophyta; Magnoliopsida; Rosales; Rosaceae. The record is from RNAcentral.